Molecule: long non-coding RNA, 626 nt
Organism: Oncorhynchus keta (chum salmon)
Lineage: Eukaryota; Metazoa; Chordata; Actinopteri; Salmoniformes; Salmonidae
Exons: 3
Source: RefSeq, a predicted model, not a curated record
AGCUACCCUCCUGUAGGUUUUAACUCCAACCCUGUUCCUGGAGAGAUGCCCUCCUGUAGGUUUUAACUCCAACCCUGUUCCUGGAGAGCUACCCUCCUGUAGGUUUUAACUCCAACGCUGUUCCUGGAGAGAUACCCUCCUGUAGGUUUUAACUCCAACCCUGUUCCUGGAGAGAUACCCUCCUGUAGGUUUUAACUCCAACCCUGUUCCUGGAGAGAUGCCCUCCUGUAGGUUUUAACUCCAACCCUGUUCCUGGAGAGAUGCCCUCCUGUAGGUUUUAACUCCAACCCUGUUCCUGGAGAGAUGCCCUCCUGUAGGUUUUAACUCCAACCCUGUUCCUGGAGAGAUACCCUCCUGUAGGUUUUAACUCCAACCCUGUUCCUGGAGAGAUACCCUCCUGUAGGUUUUAACUCCAACCCUGUUCCUGGAGAGAUGCCCUCCUGUAGGUUUUAACUCCAACCCUGUUCCUGGAGAGAUACCCUCCUGUAGGUUUUAACUCCAACCCUGUUCCUGGAGAGAUGCCCUCCUGUAGGUUUUAAUUCCAACCCUGUUCCUGGAGAGAUACCCUCCUGUAGGUUUUAACUCCAACCCUGUUCCUGGAGAGAUGCCCUCCUGUAGGUUUUAAU